This 371-nucleotide ribosomal RNA is filed under the name uncultured organism. RNAcentral's name for it is "partial 16S ribosomal RNA". It matches the Rfam family "Bacterial small subunit ribosomal RNA", at positions 527 to 896 of the family's 1533-position model. The record is from RNAcentral.
GUAGGUGGCAAGCGUUGUCCGGAAUUAUUGGGCGUAGAGCGCGCGCAGGCGGUUCUUUAAGUCUGAUGUGAAAGCCCACGGCUCAACCGUGGAGGGUCAUUGGAAACUGGAGAACUUGAGUACAGAAGAGGAAAGCGGAAUUCCACGUGUAGCGGUGAAAUGCGUAGAGAUGUGGAGGAACACCAGUGGCGAAGGCGGCUUUCUGGUCUGUAACUGACGCUGAGGCGCGAAAGCGUGGGGGAGCAAACAGGAUUAGAUACCCUGGUAGUCCACGCCGUAAACGAUGAGUGCUAAGUGUUAGGGGGUUUCCGCCCCUUAGUGCUGCAGCUAACGCAUUAAGCACUCCGCCUGGGAGUACGGCCGCAAGGCUG